RNAcentral lists this ribosomal RNA (494 nucleotides) under uncultured bacterium. Its description in RNAcentral is "partial 16S ribosomal RNA". It matches the Rfam family "Bacterial small subunit ribosomal RNA", at positions 28 to 507 of the family's 1533-position model. The record is from RNAcentral.
GACGAACGCUGGCGGCGUGCUUAACACAUGCAAGUCGAACGGAAAGGCCUGCUUUCCCUUGUGGAUUGCGGGUACUCGAGUGGCGAACGGGUGAGUAACACGUGAGUGAUCUGCCCCCAACUUGGGUAUAAGCCUGGGAAACUGGGUCUAAUUCCCGAUAGGACUGCAGGGUGGUGCCUGUGGUGGAAAACGAUUUUCUAGUGGUUGGGGAUGAGCUCGCGGCCUAUCAGCUUGUUGGUGGGGUAAUGGCCUACCAAGGCGGCGACGGGUAGCCGGCCUGAGAGGGUGGACGGCCACAGUGGGACGGAGAUACGGCCCAGACUCCUACGGGAGGCAGCAGUGGGGAAGAUUGCACAAUGGGCGGAAGCCUGAUGCAGCGACGCCGCGUGGGGGAUGACGGCCUUCGGGUUGUAAACUCCUUUCGACCGCGAGGAAGCCACCUGGUUGGAAGGGUGGUGACGGUAGUGGUAGAAGAAGCACCGGCUAACUACGUG